GACCCCGUGAACCUUUACUAUAGCUUGACACUGAACAUUGAGCCUUGAUGUGUAGGAUAGGUGGGAGGCUUUGAAGUGUGGACGCCAGUCUGCAUGGAGCCGACCUUGAAAUACCACCCUUUAAUGUUUGAUGUUCUAACGUUGACCCGUAAUCCGGGUUGCGGACAGUGUCUGGUGGGUAGUUUGACUGGGGCGGUCUCCUCCUAAAGAGUAACGGAGGAGCACGAAGGUUGGCUAAUCCUGGUCGGACAUCAGGAGGUUAGUGCAAUGGCAUAAGCCAGCUUGACUGCGAGCGUGACGGCGCGAGCAGGUGCGAAAGCAGGUCAUAGUGAUCCGGUGGUUCUGAAUGGAAGGGCCAUCGCUCAACGGAUAAAAGGUACUCCGGGGAUAACAGGCUGAUACCGCCCAAGAGUUCAUAUCGACGGCGGUGUUUGGCACCUCGAUGUCGGCUCAUCACAUCCUGGGGCUGAAGUAGGUCCCAAGGGUAUGGCUGUUCGCCA
Molecule: ribosomal RNA, 500 nt
Filed under: Escherichia coli
Lineage: Bacteria; Pseudomonadati; Pseudomonadota; Gammaproteobacteria; Enterobacterales; Enterobacteriaceae
Description: bacterial LSU rRNA
Rfam family: Bacterial large subunit ribosomal RNA
Source: RNAcentral